GCACCCUACGGGGCGCAGCAGUGGGGAAUAUUGCACAAUGGGGGAAACCCUGAUGCAGCGACGCCGCGUGAGUGAAGAAGUAUUUCGGUAUGUAAAGCUCUAUCAGCAGGAACGAGACAAAACGGCACCUGACUAAGAAGCCCCGGCUAACUACGUGCCAGCAGCCGCGGUAAUACGUAGGGGGCAAGCGUUAUCCGGAAUCACUGGGUGUAAAGGGAGCGUAGACGGCUGAGCAAGCCUGAAGUGAAAGGCGGGGGCACAACCCCCGGACUGCUUUGGGAACUGUACGGCUG
This 293-nucleotide ribosomal RNA is filed under the name uncultured bacterium. RNAcentral's name for it is "partial 16S ribosomal RNA". It matches the Rfam family "Bacterial small subunit ribosomal RNA", at positions 334 to 643 of the family's 1533-position model. The record is from RNAcentral.